ACGAAUCCAAAUACAUCACUGGGUUUUCCCUCCAGUGCAACAUCCUAUAAAAGCUCCAAUAAAUAGAUCCUAGGAUAUGGCAUUGCUAUCAUGUCAACCACAACGGAAUUUCACAUAUACUAUACAAAAUGGCUUUUGUACCAUUAUUAAAAAAUAAAUCCCAAAGAAAAAAGAGCUUGAUAGGCCAUAUUUUCAACAAAAUCCAUCAUCUCGUACCUACGAAUUUUUGUCGGGGCCAAAGAAAUCAACCUCUUCCACAAUUUCAUCUAUCUCGAAUCUUACUAUGAGACUAGUUGGUAUAGUCAUGAUUCAAUCCACUCUUUCUCGCAAACCCAUCUUUGUGCAGGAGCCAAUUACUUUCUUCAAGGAAACCAUUUCCUUCUCUCAAAAACCAACGGUCCCCUCUCGCAAUUCCAUUUUCUGUCACAAAACAUUACCUCACAAACCGAAUGCUUUCACUCAAAAACCCACCUCUCUUAAACCCAUCCCUAUCUCAUUGGGACCUCCAAUGGCAAUAGGCCCCGAUGGCAAAUUCAACCCUGACCCAGUUGAAGGUUAAGUUCCUGAAGAUUUUGCUCAUGGAGUCUCUAAGUUCUCAGCAAGUGGGUCGACAAGCUGCUAAGGCUCGACAGCGACAACAACGCCAAUACAAAGAAGAGCAAUCCAUCUUUCUGCCCGCUAUCGCUGAAGAACACGACCCACCCGAACCAUCUCCUGAAACUCGUUCAUCAUGGUGACGACCUUUCUGGAGAGAUAGACAAAGCCAUAGCUCUGUCUAGAGAGAGAGACAAAGCCAUAGCUCUCAUGCUCAUGGAAUUCGUGGACCAUGGUCUUCUCUCUCCAAACCCACCUAAAAAGGAAGAGGUUAAUCUUGGGGCAUGAAAAGGAGAAGUGUAUAAAGAAGAGAGAGAGCAAGUAGAGAGAGGGUGGGUAGAGAGAGGGGUAACGAGAGGCCGGAUAUCUUGCCAUCAAAUAAAAGAGGUAGCUUUUCAGUAUUUCGAAUAUAGGACGGCAAAGAGCUAAGAAUAUAAAGAAUAGCCCCUUGUAUGAUGUUUGCAUUGCAGAACACAUAAGAACUUAGAGAAAAAAAAAAAAAGGGGUCACGGGUGAAGGUUGUGCUCAUAAUAUUGGACACCAAAGAAUAACAAACCCCCCAAUAUGGUCCCUAUGGAAUUUGCUCUAACAAUAACAACAACAACAAUAAUCAUCAUCAUAAUUAUAAUAAUUGUAUAACAAUAAAAUAUCAUUUUAUUAGUAUUAAUAUUAUAUCAUCGUAUUAUUAUAUUUCAAUAAUAUUGAUUGAAAAUAUAUUACUAAUAUUCGUAAUGUUCAUGAUAUUUCAUAACAAAUAUUAUAAUAAUAAUACAAGAAUUUUAUAGUUAUAUAAUAUGAUAAUAAUAUAUUAUGAUAAUGACGUAAUAUUAUGAUAAAAUAUAUUUAAAUGAUCACCAUUUCAAUAAUAAAUAUUUAAUAAUAAUAAUAAUACAAAAAAAAUAUUAUAAUUACAUUAUAAUAGAAUAAUUAUAAUAAUUACAUUUACAUAACUGUUUAAUUUUAUUUUUAUCAGCACUACUAUAAUAUUAUAGUAUUAAUCAAUAUUAUAAUAUUGGUAAGGAUCUCAUUAAGAAUUUGAGAACUUGAGAAUUGAUCUUGAAGAAACGAUAUGAAAAAUAUGUAUAAGGAACAACACCCUAUGUCCUAUUAUAACAAAAAAAUAUAAAAAAUACUAAUAAAUCAUCAUCACCAUAACAAUAACAACAAAAACAACAACAAUGACAACAAUAACAACAAUAAUAAUAAUAGAAAAUUACAUACAUAUAGGUUAUAGUUUGCAUUAUUACAAAACUGCUGAUAGUUUCCAUUAUUACCUAUCUGUCCUUUUUUUCAAGUCAUAACGAAAAGUUUUAAAAAAUACUAUUUUACCCUUUUUCGGUUGUUGAACAACCGGCAAGUUUUGGUUUUUGAAAAACCGAAAAUUCAAAAUUUUCAGUCGUUGAAGAACCCGACAUUUUUUUCUCUGUCUUCUCUUUAAACUCUUCCCUUCGUCUUUCUAUAACUUACAUUUGGAUGGGUUUAAAAUCUUCCCUAUGAACCCUUCCCUAUGUUUAUCCAUCUUCUCUCUACGAUGACUAAUCUACCAUGACUAUCUUUCAAUUGAUUUGUAAUUGGAAAAGAGAGAAUGUAUAAACAUAGGGAAUCGUUUAUAACUCAGAGAGAAUGGAUAAACAUAGAGAAGAUACCUACGUUUAAACUAAUCCUUAUGUUUAUCCAUUCUCUUUACAAUGACUUAUCUACUAUAUGUUUAUCCAUUCUCUCUCUACCAUGACUAAUCUACCAUGACCAUUAAUUGGAACAGAGAGAAUCGAAAAACAUUGGGAAGACUUUAAUCUAAUGUAUAGAUAGAUUGGAUAAAGAUGGGGAAGACUUUAAACCCACCUAAAUGUGAUAUAAAGAGAAUAGAUAAAUAUAAGGAAAAGGGUAAAGAGAGAGAAUUCGGUUGUUCAAAAAUUGAAUUUAAAAAAAAAUUGAUUAGUGGAUCGGGAGAGAAUACAUAGAUUUAAAAAAUUGAAUUUAAAGCAAAAUUGAUUAGUUGAUAGAGAGAGAAUACGUAGAGAACCUACGAAACAGAAAAAAAAAUUAUGUUAUUGAAGAACCGAAAAUUUACAACUUUCGGUUCUUCAACAACCAAAAAUUUUGAAUUUUCAGAUGUUGAACAACAUAAAAAGGGUAAAAUUGUCUUUUUUAAAAAAAUUUCGUUAUGAAAUGAAAAAAAACAGAAAAAUAAGUAAUAAUGGAAACUAUUUAGUAGUUUUGUAAUAAUGCAAACUAUAACGGAUAUGUAUGUAAUUUUUUCUAAUAGUAAUAAUAAUAAUAAUAAUAAUAAUAAUAAUAAUAAUAAUAAUUUCCUUUUAAUAUUUAUAUCUUUAUGUAUAUUAGUUUUUUGUGUUAUUUCAAAUUAUCGCAUAAAUAAUUUACUCAAUUUGACUAUUUUUUUUUAAAAAAAUUGUUCAAUUAUAUGGAUGUAAUUGAAGAUAUAGGCAUAUUUUCUCAUUCAUAUAUAUAUAUAUAUAUAUAUAUAGUUUUGGCAUACCUUAACACCCAACAUUAGAGUUUUAAAUGGCUGAUAAUCACAAACUUAGAAUUAGAAAUUCUACGGGUAUGUUUGUGGAAACUUAUUUAUUGGGAUUUGUACGGAGAGAUCCUACGAACUUAUCAUUUUAAAGAUCAUGCCAAUUAUUUUAAAACUACAAAAAAUUGUAAUUAAAAAAUAAAGAAAUAAUCUAUUAAUCUGGGAAUUUCUUUCAACGGAUGCACACAAAAAUGUGAAUCUUGUUUCAAAUCUCUCAAAUUUAAAAUUUUUAAAACCCCAAAACAAUAAAGUCAAAGAAAUAACAAUUCAAUAAAUUAAGGAUGUGCCGUGCUAAUUAAAAAUGGAAAAAGUUUAUAUAGAGCGGAGGUUCUAAACAAUCAAAUUAGACUUCACCUCAAAAAUUUCAUUAGAAAAAGUAUUUGAUGUCCAAAUGUCCUCAGAUUGAUCAUGUCCACAUCAAGAUGCAUGAACUAGAAAAGGUUGUUUGAUGUCCAAAUGUCCUCCGAUUGAUCAUGUCCACAUCAAGAUGCAUGAACAUGGAAAAAAAAAAUGGAUUUCAAGUUUUGGAAAUAAUGCAUCUUGUAAUACAUUUUUGGACCAUCAAUUUUCAAGUUUUCAUAGAUCGGCGUGAUCUACACUAAUUUUGAAGCUUUAAAUUUUAUAAUUUGAUACAGGGAGAGAAUAAAACCAGAAAAUUGACAAUAAAAAAAGGAAGGUUAAAAGAAAAUACCUUCUCUCAAUUGUCUGCAUGGGAAUCCACCCCCAAAAUAAUCUCUUUUAAGAGACCAAUUCUUAUUUAAU
This 3892-nucleotide long non-coding RNA is filed under the name Amborella trichopoda. RNAcentral describes it as "long non-coding RNA (ATRI_LNC001252)". Lineage: Eukaryota; Viridiplantae; Streptophyta; Magnoliopsida; Amborellales; Amborellaceae. The record is from RNAcentral.